RNAcentral lists this long non-coding RNA (329 nucleotides) under Trifolium pratense (red clover). RNAcentral describes it as "long non-coding RNA (TPRA_LNC009946)". Lineage: Eukaryota; Viridiplantae; Streptophyta; Magnoliopsida; Fabales; Fabaceae. The record is from RNAcentral.
GUGGCCAGGAAGAAAUUUAAGGUAAUAAUCAUCAAGUUCUCACCUAUUCCUCUGAUGUUUUGUUUAGGUGUGUUAUGAAAACUCACUAAUUUAUAUUUUGGAGCACUUGCAUGUGAUUUUCUUGUGGUCAAGGAAUCAUGUGUUGUGAUUGGAGCUGUAAUCUUAUGUUUAAAAUAUGCUACUGGUUGGAUUUUGAAGAAACAGAGGAGCUAGAAUAAAUAAAAGAAAAGAAGGAAUUGGAUUGGUAAUGUAAGAAAAACUUUCUGCACUUUUGAGUCUGGACCUGUCUUCAGUAAUCGAGUCAUAUCUGACAAACCGUAAAUCCGUUU